UACGUAGGGACCGAGCGUUGUCCGGAUUCAUUGGGCGUAAAGAGCUCGUAGGCGGUUUGUCGCGUCUGCUGUGAAAUCCCGAGGCUCAACCUCGGGUCUGCAGUGGGUACGGGCAGACUGGAGUGCGGUAGGGGAGAAUGGAAUUCCUGGUGUAGCGGUGGAAUGCGCAGAUAUCAGGAGGAACACCGAUGGCGAAGGCAGUUCUCUGGGCCGUAACUGACGCUGAGGAGCGAAAGCGUGGGGAGCGAACAGG
RNAcentral lists this ribosomal RNA (253 nucleotides) under uncultured bacterium. RNAcentral's name for it is "partial 16S ribosomal RNA". It matches the Rfam family "Bacterial small subunit ribosomal RNA", at positions 524 to 776 of the family's 1533-position model. The record is from RNAcentral.